This 1358-nucleotide ribosomal RNA is filed under the name Salmonella enterica subsp. enterica serovar Typhimurium. Its description in RNAcentral is "partial 23S ribosomal RNA". It matches the Rfam family "Bacterial large subunit ribosomal RNA", at positions 638 to 1895 of the family's 2925-position model. Lineage: Bacteria; Pseudomonadati; Pseudomonadota; Gammaproteobacteria; Enterobacterales; Enterobacteriaceae. The record is from RNAcentral.
UAGCAAGGUUAACCGUAUAGGGGAGCCGGAGGGAAACCGAGUCUUAAUUGGGCGUUAAGUUGCAGGGUAUAGACCCGAAACCCGGUGAUCUAGCCAUGGGCAGGUUGAAGGUUGGGUAACACUAACUGGAGGACCGAACCGACUAAUGUUGAAAAAUUAGCGGAUGACCUGUGGCUGGGGGUGAAAGGCCAAUCAAACCGGGAGAUAGCUGGUUCUCCCCGAAAGCUAUUUAGGUAGCGCCUCGUGAAUUCAUCUCCGGGGGUAGAGCACUGUUUCGGCUAGGGGGCCAUCCCGGCUUACCAACCCGAUGCAAACUGCGAAUACCGGAGAAUGUUAUCACGGGAGACACACGGCGGGUGCUAACGUCCGUCGUGAAGAGGGAAACAACCCAGACCGCCAGCUAAGGUCCCAAAGUCAUGGUUAAGUGGGAAACGAUGUGGGAAGGCCCAGACAGCCAGGAUGUUGGCUUAGAAGCAGCCAUCAUUUAAAGAAAGCGUAAUAGCUCACUGGUCGAGUCGGCCUGCGCGGAAGAUGUAACGGGGCUAAACCAUGCACCGAAGCUGCGGCAGCGAACGUAUCACCCAAGACAACUUUACGGAGUUGACGAUUGACGGAGCGAAGCGACGUCAAAGCGUUCAUUAAAGUCGAGUUGGCUUAGGGAUACGUUCGUUGGGUAGGGGAGCGUUCUGUAAGCCUGUGAAGGUGUGUCGUGAGGCAUGCUGGAGGUAUCAGAAGUGCGAAUGCUGACAUAAGUAACGAUAAAGCGGGUGAAAAGCCCGCUCGCCGGAAGACCAAGGGUUCCUGUCCAACGUUAAUCGGGGCAGGGUGAGUCGACCCCUAAGGCGAGGCCGAAAGGCGUAGUCGAUGGGAAACGGGUUAAUAUUCCCGUACUUGGUGUUACUGCGAAGGGGGGACGGAGAAGGCUAUGUUGGCCGGGCGACGGUUGUCCCGGUUUAAGCGUGUAGGUGUGUGUUCCAGGUAAAUCCGGUUCACUUUAACACUGAGGCGUGACGACGAGGCACUACGGUGCUGAAGCAACAAAUGCCCUGCUUCCAGGAAAAGCCUCUAAGCAUCAGGUAACACGAAAUCGUACCCCAAACCGACACAGGUGGUCAGGUAGAGAAUACCAAGGCGCUUGAGAGAACUCGGGUGAAGGAACUAGGCAAAAUGGUGCCGUAACUUCGGGAGAAGGCACGCUGACACGUAGGUGAAGUGAUUUACUCAUGGAGCUGAAGUCAGUCGAAGAUACCAGCUGGCUGCAACUGUUUAUUAAAAACACAGCACUGUGCAAACACGAAAGUGGACGUAUACGGUGUGACGCCUGCCCGGUGCCGGAAGGUUAAUUGAUGGGGUCAGCG